This 72-nucleotide ribosomal RNA is filed under the name Triticum aestivum (bread wheat). Its description in RNAcentral is "partial small subunit ribosomal RNA". Lineage: Eukaryota; Viridiplantae; Streptophyta; Magnoliopsida; Poales; Poaceae. The record is from RNAcentral.
AUGAAGAAGGUGAGAACUUGGGCGCUGGAGCUCGAGACCCCCUCAGGUGUCUAUAUAAACCGGAGGGUUUAG